This 253-nucleotide ribosomal RNA is filed under the name uncultured bacterium. RNAcentral describes it as "partial 16S ribosomal RNA". It matches the Rfam family "Bacterial small subunit ribosomal RNA", at positions 524 to 776 of the family's 1533-position model. The record is from RNAcentral.
UUCGUAGGGAGCGAGCGUUAUCCGGAUUUAUUGGGUGUAAAGGGUGCGUAGAUGGAUAAGCAAGUUGUUUGUGAAAUCCCUCGGCUUAACUGAGGAACUGCAAGCAAAACUGUUAAUCUUGAGUACUGGAGGGGAAAGCGGAAUUCCUAGUGUAGCGGUGAAAUGCGUAGAUAUUAGGAAGAACACCGGUGGCGAAGGCGGCUUUCUGGACAGUAACUGACAUUGAGGCACGAAAGUGUGGGGAGCAAACAGG